CCGUACCUCCUUUGGGGGACCAAUUUUUGUGACAGGAUGGUCUGGACCCCAAUGCAGUCAAGUCACCAUGCAGGGCAGUGACAGAAGAAAAAAAUCAUUAGCUCCAGAUAUUAAAUUUGUUUGUUUCUCAACUUUCAAGAGGGUUUAAUAGAUCCUGGCCAUCUCAGUGUUGUGGAAGUUAACAGUCAAAACAAUCUGAAGUGAUCCUUUACCAAGAAUCUUGGCAAGAUCAGUGUAUAAUUAGGAUUGUGGUUUAUAACUCUGGUUUCAUGUCAACAGCGAGGGUUAGCUUCUAAAGUUUUGCGUCAAUGGAUGUGGCAGUCAAGAUUGAAAUUGAUAAACUAGGAACUGUUAUCAAGACUAUCAAUGAUCUCAAGAUACCUUGGGGAGUUGCUCUCAACCAAGCUGGGGAGAUAAUUGUUGCUGAACAGGGUGCUGGUAUUGUCUCGAUAUUCAGCCACGCAGGAGACAAGCUGCAAACAUUAGACACUCGAGGUACAGCUGUUGGGGAGAUGAAGGGACCUCGUGGUGUGGCAGUGGACGGUAAUGACAACAUUCUGGUGGUGGAUCGUGGUAAUCAUCGACUGUUGAAAUUCUCACAUGGAGGAGACCUGAUAGCAGCAGUAGGUAGUAAUGGCGAUGGUCCUGGGCAGUUUAGCAUUCCGACUGGUAUUUGUAUCAACAGUGUCAAUGCAAAGGUGUAUGUGGCUGAUCAUGGUGCUAACCGUGUUCACAUCUUUAACUCUGACCUCACCUUCUCCAGCAAGCUCGGCAGCUAUGGCAGUGGUAAUGGACAGUUCAGCUCUCCUUAUGACGUUGCAUCCGAUCGUAGUGGUUGUGUGUAUGUGGCUGAAUAUGGUAAUGCUCGAGUGCAGGUCUUCACACCCGAUGGUGGCUAUCUGAGGCAGUUUGGGAAGAGAGGCAGUGGAAAUGGAGAACUUGACAGGCCUGGCAGCAUCUGUGUGGGCAGUGAUGAUCUGGUGUAUGUGGGGGAGAGUGGAAACGAUCGUGUGUCGGUGUUCACGUGUGAGGGAGUGUUUCUCAAGUCAUUUGGACCAUGGCAGUUCAAUGGGCCUUAUGGCAUAGCAGUAGACCAGUGUGGUGUAGUGUAUGUGUCUGGUUAUGGCAAUAAUAAAGUGCAAAUAUUUUCCUAGUUUAUUUGUUGUCAUUAAUGAUAAUUAUUGUUUUGGAGUUAUUGUAACGUACAUGUUGAUUAUAAAUUGAAACCAGUGAAAUCGAGUACCUCGAUUGCUAAAAUUGAUCUGCAAUAAUGACUUUACUGUUGAAUUUUGCACGUGACCAAAUCUAAUCCAGGUAUUCGUGUCGUACCUCCUCUGGCCCAUGUUGUCCCUAUGCAUGUACAUGUGUACUGAGUCUCUCCUGUUACAGUCGUGCCUUUAAUUAAUUAGUAUCGUACCUCACCCCACCCCCUCCUCCUCUCCAGGGUUCCAUGGUGCUGGUGGCGGGCGUCAAUACUGGUACGGCCAAGGUCAAGGUCCGUGUGAGGGAAAGGGCGUGAUAGGGGGUGGAGCCUGAUAUCAUCAAGCUGCUAAGUCAUUGAGAACAUGAUGCUACAACCCAGGCUACAACCAUCCCAUGGAUGUGUACAUUCUGCCACUGUUGGUCGAGUAUCGGAUGGACAGACGGAAGCAUGGGAGGUCAUCACCAUGCCAUCAGGCCAGUAUUCAUUGGAGCUGACCAAUACGGGCGCCCCCCCCUCUCUCUGAAAUCCUGCCACACACACAGACAUUACGUUGUGAUGUAUUUGUAGCCUCAAUUGAGCGAGUUGAGAUCGGAGUUGCUGUUGGGGGAGGAGCCCGAGCAUUUCAGUGUGACAAGGAAAGCAAUAUAUUCAGCACCCUGGGGGGUCACAUCUUUGAGUGGACACUCCUCUCUGAUAAGGAAGACACCCACCAACAAGCAUCCCCUGAGGCCAUACACAACUUCAUACCCUUUGAAGAGUCCUCCUGUUCCACUGACCUCGAUUGUCACCGGCAGUCUUAGAACAAAAGGUUUGUGUGUGUGUGUGUGUGUGCGGGUAGUCUGGUUUGUGUUUGACUGUGUGAGGGGGUGGUCUGGUUUGUGUGUAGGUUAGGCCUAAGGUCCAGCACAGAAGUUUAAGAAGAGAAGACAGGCUAAUCAGAUAUCUUCUAGAAUAUCUGAAAUUAUUAUAGAGUAAUAUUAUUCCUUGAGAAUUUGUGAAUCAUGCAGUAUUAAAUGGCAGCUAUUUUAAUAGCAUGAUAUCUAGCCAGUGCGUAUAACAUACCUGUCAGAGAAAGGGAGCUGGAGCUGAACAGUGUGAAGAAAAGCAACACCUCGGGCUCUGGAAAAGCACUGCACUGACAGUUUGUGGCACACAGGCGCACGGUUUCUUAGCCACGCCUAUCUAUUAUUUGGCCACAACGCAAUUGCUGAGUCAUUAAAGAUGGCGGAAUUUUCUAGCUUGAAUUGGACGAGGGGAGCUUGUUCAGUGCACUAGCCACACUCACUCCAUUCUCUGACUUCAACCAGAGCCCCAGGAACAUGUACCAAUGUCAGAUCGAUGGCCAUGCAAGCAAACGGUGGGUACACCACUUCGAUCAGUCAUUCCCCUACAGAAAGGAUGGCAAACUGUACAGACUGCAGGUUAUUAUUGAGAGUGAAAAAAUAUUGUCUGUUAUAACAAUCACUCAUCUUGAAAACGACAUCGGAUAACUCAACUGCCAUAUAAAGCAACCCUUUUAGCUAGAUCCAACAAUCAAGUUUCAAGUGACAAUUAA
RNA transcript from Halichondria panicea, 2759 nucleotides. It is a transcript of the gene named E3 ubiquitin-protein ligase TRIM71-like, with no coding region annotated. The record is from RefSeq and is a predicted model, not a curated record. The transcript has 10 exons. NCBI's taxonomy places the organism in Eukaryota, Metazoa, Porifera, Demospongiae, Suberitida, Halichondriidae.